AGCAGCAGCCACGGGAAUACAGAGGGUGCAAGCGUUAAUCGGAAUUACUGGGCGUAAAGCGCGCGUAGGUGGUUUGUUAAGUUGGAUGUGAAAUCCCCGGGCUCAACCUGGGAACUGCAUCCAAAACUGGCAAGCUAGAGUAUGGUAGAGGGUGGUGGAAUUUCCUGUGUAGCGGUGAAAUGCGUAGAUAUAGGAAGGAACACCAGUGGCGAAGGCGACCACCUGGACUGAUACUGACACUGAGGUGCGAAAGCGUGGGGAGCAAACAGGAUUAGAUACCCCUGUAGUCCCUGUCUCUUAUAC
RNAcentral lists this ribosomal RNA (303 nucleotides) under uncultured bacterium. RNAcentral describes it as "partial 16S ribosomal RNA". It matches the Rfam family "Bacterial small subunit ribosomal RNA", at positions 507 to 807 of the family's 1533-position model. The record is from RNAcentral.